CUCUACAAAGUUGAACAUAGGCUGAGUCUCUAUGCCUUGAAUGGAGCACUGGAUUGGAUACCCGGGAAACCG
This 72-nucleotide small RNA is filed under the name Plasmodium falciparum 3D7. Its description in RNAcentral is "Pfa-mtR5751". The record is from RNAcentral. Lineage: Eukaryota; Apicomplexa; Aconoidasida; Haemosporida; Plasmodiidae.